AAUGUUGAAUGAUCGAUGAUUUACAUCAAACAUAAAUGUUAGUGUCAGGAGAAUCACAGCAAGGAAUCACAGGACUGGUAUGACAUCAGAUGUUGAAGAGCUUUGGGGUGCAGAGAUGUGCUCAAACUUAACUCGCAUAACAGGCAGAGGACUGAGGAUGCUCUCAGCAGCGGCAGGGGACACCUUCCAAGGAGCCUGAGCUACACUCCCUGUCCCUCAGAAUGCUGUACUCUGUACACAGCAGCUCUCAUAAUGAGAGACUAUAUCUUACCACUUAAAGAAAAGGAAAAAGAAAAAGAAAACCUCUUAAUUGAAGUAUAACACACACAGAAAAGUGCAG
Zalophus californianus (California sea lion) is the source of this 340-nucleotide long non-coding RNA. RefSeq lists it as uncharacterized. NCBI's taxonomy places the organism in Eukaryota, Metazoa, Chordata, Mammalia, Carnivora, Otariidae. The record is from RefSeq and is a predicted model, not a curated record. The transcript has 3 exons.